Molecule: ribosomal RNA, 440 nt
Filed under: uncultured bacterium
Lineage: Bacteria
Description: partial 16S ribosomal RNA
Rfam family: Bacterial small subunit ribosomal RNA
Source: RNAcentral
CCUACGGGUGGCAGCAGUGGGGAAUAUUGCACAAUGGGGGAAACCCUGAUGCAGCGAAGCAGCGUGAGUGAAGAAGGAAUUCGGUAUGUAAAGCUCUAUCAGCAGGGGAGAAAAUGACGGUACCUGAGUAAGAAGCUACGGCUAACUACGUGCCAGCAGCCGCGGUAAUACGGAGGGUGCAAGCGUUAUCCGGAUUUACUGGGUGUAAAGGGAGCGUAGAUGGCAGUGCAAGUCUGGAGUGAAAGUCGGGGGCUCAACCGCAGGACUGCUCUGGAAACUGUCAGGCUGGAGUGCAGGAGAGGUAAGUGGAAUUCCUGGUGUAGCGGUGAAAUGCGUAGAUAUUAGGAGGAACUCCAGUGGCGAAGGCGGCUUACUGGACUGUAACUGACGUUGAGGCUCGAAAGCGUGGGGAGCAAACAGGAUUAGAUACCCGAGUAGUC